RNAcentral lists this ribosomal RNA (253 nucleotides) under uncultured bacterium. RNAcentral's name for it is "partial 16S ribosomal RNA". It matches the Rfam family "Bacterial small subunit ribosomal RNA", at positions 524 to 776 of the family's 1533-position model. The record is from RNAcentral.
UACGGGGGGGGCAAGCGUUGUUCGGAAUUACUGGGCGUAAAGGGCGCGUAGGCGGCCUUCUAAGUCGGACGUGAAAUCCCUCGGCUCAACCGAGGAACUGCGUCCGAUACUGAAAGGCUUGAAUCCGGGAGAGGGAUGUGGAAUUCCAGGUGUAGCGGUGAAAUGCGCAGAUAUCAGGAAGAACACCUAUGGCGAAGGCAGCUCUCUGGGACGGUACUGACGCUGAGACGCGAAAGCGUGGGGAGCGAACAGG